Molecule: ribosomal RNA, 775 nt
Filed under: Lentilactobacillus parafarraginis
Lineage: Bacteria; Bacillati; Bacillota; Bacilli; Lactobacillales; Lactobacillaceae
Description: bacterial SSU rRNA
Rfam family: Bacterial small subunit ribosomal RNA
Source: RNAcentral
AUACAUGCAAGUCGAACGCGUCUUGGUUAAUGAUGUUAGGUGCUUGCAUUUAACUGAUUUAACAUUGAGACGAGUGGCGAACUGGUGAGUAACACGUGGGUAACCUGCCCUGAAGUGGGGGAUAACACUUGGAAACAGGUGCUAAUACCGCAUAACAACGAAAACCACAUGGUUUUCGUUUGAAAGAUGGCUUCGGCUGUCACUUUUGGAUGGACCCGCGGCGUAUUAGCUUGUUGGUGAGGUAACGGCUCACCAAGGCCAUGAUACGUAGCCGACCUGAGAGGGUAAUCGGCCACAUUGGGACUGAGACACGGCCCAAACUCCUACGGGAGGCAGCAGUAGGGAAUCUUCCACAAUGGACGAAAGUCUGAUGGAGCAACGCCGCGUGAGUGAUGAAGGGUUUCGGCUCGUAAAACUCUGUUGUUGGAGAAGAACAGGUGAUAGAGUAACUGUUAUCAUCUUGACGGUAUCCAACCAGAAAGCCACGGCUAACUACGUGCCAGCAGCCGCGGUAAUACGUAGGUGGCAAGCGUUGUCCGGAUUUAUUGGGCGUAAAGCGAGCGCAGGCGGUUUUUUAGGUCUGAUGUGAAAGCCUUCGGCUUAACCGGAGAAGGGCAUCGGAAACCGGGAGACUUGAGUGCAGAAGAGGACAGUGGAACUCCAUGUGUAGCGGUGAAAUGCGUAGAUAUAUGGAAGAACACCAGUGGCGAAGGCGGCUGUCUGGUCUGUAACUGACGCUGAGGCUCGAAAGCAUGGGUAGCGAACACGAUUAGAU